This 200-nucleotide ribosomal RNA is filed under the name uncultured Glomus. RNAcentral describes it as "partial small subunit ribosomal RNA". It matches the Rfam family "Eukaryotic small subunit ribosomal RNA", at positions 591 to 796 of the family's 1831-position model. The record is from RNAcentral. Lineage: Eukaryota; Fungi; Glomeromycota; Glomeromycetes; Glomerales; Glomeraceae.
CCAAUAGCGUAUAUUAAAGUUGUUGCAGUUAAAAAGCUCGUAGUUGAAUUUCGGGAUCAGUACGCUGGUCAUGCCUUUGGUAUGUACUGGUGUCACUGGUUUCUCCCUUCUGAAGAACCGUGAUGUCAUUAAUUUGGUGUCGCGGGGAAUCAGGACUGUUACUUUGAAAAAAUUAGAGUGUUUAAAGCAGGCUCACGCUU